RNAcentral lists this ribosomal RNA (199 nucleotides) under uncultured bacterium. Its description in RNAcentral is "partial 16S ribosomal RNA". It matches the Rfam family "Bacterial small subunit ribosomal RNA", at positions 1301 to 1500 of the family's 1533-position model. The record is from RNAcentral.
CAGUCUGCAACUCGACUGCAUGAAGUCGGAAUUGCUAGUAAUCGCGGAUCAGCAUGCCGCGGUGAAUACGUUCCCGGGCCUUGUACACACCGCCCGUCACACCAUGAGAGUCGGAACACCCGAAGUCCGUAGUCUAACCGCAAGGAGGACGCGGCCGAAGGUGGGCUUGAUAAUUGGGGUGAAGUCGUAACAAGGUACC